AGAACUGGGACCACCGGGGGCGGUGAGGCGGCUUGGCACUGGGAGCUGCAUCUGAGGCUUAGUCCCUGAGUUCUCCGCCUGCCCAGACUAGCUGCACCUCCUCAUUCCCUGCGCCCCCUUCCUCUCCGGAAGCCCCCCAGGAUGGUGAGGUGGUUUCACCGAGACCUCAGUGGGCUGGAUGCAGAGACCCUGCUCAAGGGCCGAGGUGUCCAUGGUAGCUUCCUGGCUCGGCCCAGUCGCAAGAACCAGGGUGACUUCUCGCUCUCCGUCAGGGUAGGGGAUCAGGUGACCCAUAUUCGGAUCCAGAACUCAGGGGAUUUCUAUGACCUGUAUGGAGGGGAGAAGUUCGCAACACUGACAGAGCUGGUGGAGUACUACACUCAGCAGCAGGGCGUCCUGCAGGACCGCGAUGGCACCAUCAUCCACCUCAAGUACCCGCUGAACUGCUCCGAUCCCACUAGUGAGAGGUGAGGGCUCCACACCCCCGCCACUCCCAAGCAGGGACGAGCCGGCU
This 514-nucleotide small RNA is filed under the name Pongo abelii (Sumatran orangutan). Its description in RNAcentral is "retained intron". The record is from RNAcentral. Lineage: Eukaryota; Metazoa; Chordata; Mammalia; Primates; Hominidae.